RNAcentral lists this long non-coding RNA (442 nucleotides) under Triticum aestivum (bread wheat). RNAcentral's name for it is "long non-coding RNA (TAES_LNC010033)". The record is from RNAcentral. Lineage: Eukaryota; Viridiplantae; Streptophyta; Magnoliopsida; Poales; Poaceae.
UCGUCUCACACUCACCACGUAAGAUGUUCUACUCCUAGCAUUUCUCGAGGGGUAAUCCGUCAGUCACAUCUUUAUACCAUCAGUGACGGUGUAUAUCUCUCGUUCUCUCUUGAUUGUAGCCAGCUGAAGCGAUGGCCACCGUCGGCGGCGCGGCAGCACUUCUGAGGAACAAGAUGUUCGUCUCCUGCGUGAUGCUCCUCGUGGUCCUGCUGAUGGCCACGCAGAUAGCGGCGGCGGGCGGCGGGGCACGCCGGCUCCUGUGGUGCGGCUACAGAAACUGCAACUGCCGCACUUGCCCCAUAUAUGGGUGGGCGUGUUGCCCGCCGUAGGGCGCGGGCGGCGGCACGCACGGCAAGAUCGCACCUUUGCUUCGAUCGCUCUGUUAAAGGUUUGAUGAAUAACGUGCAUGUACGAGGUUACAUGUGGUUGCUGCUGUUUCAAC